CAGUUCGGACUGUAGGCUGCAAUCGCCUACACGAAGUCGGAAUCGCUAGUAAUCGCGGAUCAGCAUGCCGCGGUGAAUGCGUUCUCGGGCCUUGUACACACCGCCCGUCACACCAUGAGAGUCGGGAACACCCGAAGUCCGUAGCCUAACCGCAAGGGGGGCGCGGCCGAAGGUGGGCUCGAUAAUUGGGGUGAAGUCGUAACAAGGUACC
This 211-nucleotide ribosomal RNA is filed under the name uncultured bacterium. RNAcentral describes it as "partial 16S ribosomal RNA". It matches the Rfam family "Bacterial small subunit ribosomal RNA", at positions 1289 to 1500 of the family's 1533-position model. The record is from RNAcentral.